Molecule: long non-coding RNA, 465 nt
Filed under: Lucilia cuprina (Australian sheep blowfly)
Lineage: Eukaryota; Metazoa; Arthropoda; Insecta; Diptera; Calliphoridae
Description: uncharacterized LOC124418584, transcript variant X2
Source: RNAcentral
AGUAAAAAAAGAGCAACAUACAAUAUAUAAAAAUAAAAUUAAAACAUAAAAUAAAAAUUAAUAGGAAAAUUAUAAAUUUAAAAGAAAAAACGGGAGGUUGUUAAAAAAAAUAAAGUAAUUUUUAUCUUAUAUACUAUUUAUAAACAACAUCCUUGCUUUAAAGAAGAAGGACAUUUGUGUUUAUCUAACUUACCUUUGCAAUGUUUGGAAAGUUGCCCAAUAUGAUCCUGAUAGUAGAAAUAUUAAAAAAUAAAAACCACCUGGUACACUUGGUCUUAGGACAGCCGAAAAGAAUAAUGUAGCCAAACAGAAUAAGGGCGCUAUCUUAAUAAGACCAUCAAAAUUUGGCUUAUCAUUGUCUUCUUGUGUUUUUCGCCCUAAAUCUGUAUUGAUUUUGACAGCUGUUAACUCGCCGCCAGCAGUUGCGCUACCACUAGCUUCCAGUGUUUCUUCGAUAUCAGCUGC